UAAUAAGCGGAGGAAAAGAAACUAACAAGGAUUCCCCCAGUAACGGCGAGUGAAGCGGGAAUAGUCCAAAUUUGAAAUCUCCGACGCUUGCGUCGGCGAGUUGUAGUUGCGAGAAGCACUUUCUCGGCGGAUCGGGCGUGCCUAAGUUGCUUGGAACAGUACGUCGCAGAGGGUUACAACCCCGUCUGUGGCACGGCCGACCGUCACGAUGUGCUUUCGAA
RNAcentral lists this ribosomal RNA (221 nucleotides) under Tubastraea micranthus (black turret coral). Its description in RNAcentral is "partial 28S ribosomal RNA". It matches the Rfam family "Eukaryotic large subunit ribosomal RNA", at positions 44 to 261 of the family's 3401-position model. The record is from RNAcentral. Lineage: Eukaryota; Metazoa; Cnidaria; Anthozoa; Scleractinia; Dendrophylliidae.